Long non-coding RNA from Pyrus x bretschneideri (Chinese white pear), 2101 nucleotides. RefSeq lists it as uncharacterized. The record is from RefSeq and is a predicted model, not a curated record. Lineage: Eukaryota; Viridiplantae; Streptophyta; Magnoliopsida; Rosales; Rosaceae. The transcript is spliced from 5 exons.
CGGUUAUAAAUGAAAAAGAAUUGAAUACUCCCUCUCUCCCUCACGCCCUCUAUCUUUCUCUGUAAUCCUCCAUUACUCAGGUCAAGGUCGAACCCAAAUUUUGGGUGCUAACAGAGAGAUAAUAUAGGAGGAUUUCUGCAAGUGAUUUUAGGGAUUUGCAGAGUGAGAGAUAGGACAACGGGCGAUAAAGAGAGAGGUGUAGGUUGAGGUGCGGGUUUAGGGUUGGUUAUUUCCGCACAUAACAAACCCUAAUCCCCUUUUUAGUAAAUUGAAUUAGUACUAGCUGAACAGGAGUUACUCUCUGCAACUCUUCUCCCACAGGCCUGAACCUCAACUAUGGAGAGAAGCUUGCUUCUCUUCUUCUCCCCAUUUAAAACCCCAUCUCUCUUUCUCCUCUUCUUCUUCUUCCUCAAAACUGAAUUAGUUUUAUUUUUUUUAUUUUUUUUAUCCCACUUGCUCAAAACUGAAUUUUUUGUUGUGUGAAUAUAUAUGUGAACAUAUAAUAUCAGCAUUUCGAGUGAAUCGAAUUCAUUUCAAAUUUUCUUAAAUUUAUUGAUUGUCAGAUGACAUAGUUAACAGCUUCUGUGUUUUAAAACAAUUGAAUGUGAGAUUUACAUAAUUAAAUAGUCAAUUGGAAAAUUGAAAUGAGAUGUUAGUUUUACCUUACUGAUUUCUUUGUUGGGUUUAUUACUGCUCAAUGUUAAAACCUGACAAUUGUUUUUGGGCAAGUGGUGAUCGGCCCGCCUGGGUUAGGAAAGACCACUUACUACAAUGGCAUGUCUGAGUUCCUCCAGCUCAUCAGAAAGUAGAAAAUUUCACUCUGAAUUCUAGGUUUUCAAGUUUUUCCAUGGCUUCAAUUUUGGUUUUUGAAUCUGCCUGAAAUAUUUACAAUGGCAAUUUGUUGUUUUGGUAUGCAAAAAAGUUGUUGUGGUAAAUCUGGAUCAUGCCACCGAUGGAUUGCCGUAUCCUUUUCGGGGUUUUAUGUUUUUCAUGUUUGUUGUUUGUAAUUUGUAAUGUUGCAUUGCAUUCCAAUGUCGAAUGUUGAGGGUAAUAAAGUAGAGCUACUGGUCCACCUUCUUUCAUUUGGUGCUUUCAACAUUGAAUUUUUUAACCCUACUCAUUCCGCUUAGUUUUUAUUUGAUUUGGAUUUUGCAGUUCAAAGCCGAUUUGGGGAUUUUGAAAUGCUGGACGCUGGGCCAGUUACGCCACAACAGAACCAUGGAGGAUGAUAUCAUAGUGGAUCCAGUGGAGUCUCCAGAGAUUGUUGAUGAUCCAUACCAAACUAUGUGAGUUUUCAAGUUGAAAAGUGGAAGUCCGAACUUUUAGCUCAGAGGAAAACCCUUGGUUGAAUCAAAUACUGAAGAGCUAGCCAAUUUAACAUCAGCGGAUAUGAGGGAAUCUGAUUUCAGUGGUUCAACUUUCAAUGGUGCGUACAUGGAGAAAGCUGUCACAUAUAAGGCAAACUUUGACGUAAGAACUUCACACUGUACAAAUAGAUACUAAAAGGGAAGAGCACGGUGGCGUGUGCUUUGGGUGGGAGUUUGUACCGCAGGGGAAGCUGUCGUACAUUCUUGAUGGGGACAAUGUCAGGCAUGGCUUGAAUUGCGACCUUGGUUUUAAAGCAGAACAUAGUGCAGAGAACAUUGGUAGGAUUGGUAUGUAUGUGUAUGCCUCUAUUUAGAUUAACCAAACCCUCUUUUUAGAUUAACUAUGGCUUUCUGCUUCAUUAUGUGUUCAUGAAACUAAUCUCUGCAGUUCUUCAAUUCAUCUGGGGUAUUUGUGAUUUUGAACAACACUAAAAUUAUUUAUGGGUUAUAGGAACCACGGGUUAGGAAAAUGGGUCCAAAUUCAAAGCUGCAUUUUCUUCCUUCAAAAUAAGAAGAAAAAACUUCCUCAGCUCCAUAUUUCAGCACCUCAGGUAUAUUUGUGUUCUAAAGCCUUCUAUUUCUUUCUGUUUCUUCAGAGCUAUUAUUUUACCCAUAUGUUAUUUGUAUAGUGAAAGAUUGGAUUUCAUAUGCCUCAGUACUUAUGGUUUUGUACAAUACAAACUUGAGCUUAUUGAUCCAAGUGGCUAGAACAGUAUACUCAACCAAUUUCAUAU